UCAAUCGAACUGACCUCUGACCUCGGCUGAGAACUGGGCGGAAUGUCUGGUUAUGAAAAGCUGUAGUUGUUGGUCCAGGUCACAUUCUGACACAUUGAUGUCCCAGGAUCGGAUACCUGCAGCACCUCUGGGAUUUAAAGUACAGACACUUUGACUGACAAGUCCAAAAUGUUGCUGUUUGGCCACUACUGCCCUAACUUAGAUGCUGAGCUGAUAUGGAUCUGGCAGUUUUUCACAUAAGCUGAAGAGCAAAUACUUCACAAAUCCAGACAGCAGCUCCAGGACUUUGGAUAAAUAUCGCACCAGUUCCGCGUUGGCCUCUCCGUCUGUCGGAGGAGCAGCAAUGGCGACACCCACCGCCUCCUCGGAC
Molecule: long non-coding RNA, 370 nt
Organism: Rhinichthys klamathensis goyatoka
Lineage: Eukaryota; Metazoa; Chordata; Actinopteri; Cypriniformes; Leuciscidae
Exons: 3
Source: RefSeq, a predicted model, not a curated record